AGAGUUGUAUCCUGGCUCAGGAUGAACGCUGACAGAAUGCUUAACACAUGCAAGUCUACUUGAAGCACUUUCGGGUGUGGAUGGUGGCGGACGGGUGAGUAACGCGUAAAUAACUUGCCCCCUAGUCUGGGACAACUGUUGGAAACGACAGCUAAUACUAGAUAUUAUGAGACCUUGGCAUCAAGGGCUUAUGAAAGCUAUAUGCGCUAGGGGAGAGAUUUGCGUCCUAUUAGCUAGUUGGUGAGGUAAUGGCUCACCAAGGCGACGAUAGGUAGCCGGCCUGAGAGGGUGAACGGCCACAAGGGGACUGAGACACGGCCCUUACUCCUACGGGAGGCAGCAGUGGGGAAUAUUGGACAAUGGACCAAAAGUCUGAUCCAGCAAUUCUGUGUGCUUGAUGAAGGCCUUCGGGUUGUAAAGAG
This 422-nucleotide ribosomal RNA is filed under the name uncultured Fusobacteriota bacterium. RNAcentral describes it as "bacterial SSU rRNA". It matches the Rfam family "Bacterial small subunit ribosomal RNA", at positions 8 to 432 of the family's 1533-position model. The record is from RNAcentral. Lineage: Bacteria; Fusobacteriati; Fusobacteriota.